CUGGUCUCACUCCCAUUGUGCCACCCCCAACAGCACUGUCUAUUUCCAGGCAGUGGGUGAGCAGGGCUUAAGAACUUGUCCCAGGCUGCCCGCCUCCCAGCCGUGAGAUAAAAGGGCUCUGGUUCUUCCCCCACCUGUGGAGUCUGCAUGCUAGAUUUACACCCUCCCCUGAGUUCUGGCCAGGAGGCCUCUCACCUGGUUCAAAUUGUUACAACGUUCAGCUGGAGACCUCCUACUCCCUGUGGUUAUCUCCCCGCACCUCUGGCCACCCUCCCGAAAGGAUCCCUGUGGUGCCAGGCAGGAAUGGCCUGCCUGGGGACCCAGCAAGCUCCCAGGGCCCUUCCCACUGCCUCCUCCACCCCUGCAUUUCACUCAGCUCUCUAAGUUGACUCAGCUCCAGCCACCUUGUGAAGAAGUUAUUUGCUUCUCCUUUGUCUUCCGUCAUGAUUGUAAAUUUCCUGAGGCCUCCCUCUAGCCAUGCAG
Molecule: long non-coding RNA, 483 nt
Filed under: Homo sapiens (human)
Lineage: Eukaryota; Metazoa; Chordata; Mammalia; Primates; Hominidae
Description: HSALNT0070005
Source: RNAcentral